UAGGCUGAAACUACGCCUACAUGAAGCUGGAAUUGCUAGUAAUCACAGGUCAGCAUACUGUGGUGAAUACGUUCCCGGGCCUUGUACACACCGCCCGUCACACCAUGAGAGUUGAGAAUACCCGAAGCCCAUGUCAAAGUGGUCGAAGGUAGGCUUGAUGAUUGGGGUGAAGUCGUAACAAGGUAAC
Molecule: ribosomal RNA, 187 nt
Filed under: uncultured bacterium
Lineage: Bacteria
Description: partial 16S ribosomal RNA
Rfam family: Bacterial small subunit ribosomal RNA
Source: RNAcentral